GCGAACGGGUGAGUAACACGUGAGUAACCUGCCCCCGACUCUGGGAUAAGCCCGGGAAACUGGGUCUAAUACCGGAUAUGACCUUUGACCGCAUGGUUGUUGGUGGAAAGAUUUAUCGGUGGGGGAUGGACUCGCGGCCUAUCAGCUUGUUGGUGAGGUAAUGGCUCACCAAGGCGACGACGGGUAGCCGGCCUGAGAGGGUGACCGGCCACACUGGGACUGAGACACGGCCCAGACUCCUACGGGAGGCAGCAGUGGGGAAUAUUGCACAAUGGGCGCAAGCCUGAUGCAGCGACGCCGCGUGAGGGAUGACGGCCUUCGGGUUGUAAACCUCUUUCAGUAGGGAAGAAGCGAAAGUGACGGUACCUGCAGAAGAAGCGCCGGCUAACUACGUGCCAGCAGCCGCGGUAAUACGUAGGGCGCAAGCGUUAUCCGGAUUUAUUGGGCGUAAAGAGCUCGUAGGCGGUUUGUCGCGUCUGCCGUGAAAGUCCGAGGCUCAACCUCGGAUCUGCGGUGGGUACGGGCAGACUAGAGUGAUGUAGGGGAGACUGGAAUUCCUGGUGUAGCGGUGAAAUGCGCAGAUAUCAGGAGGAACACCGAUGGCGAAGGCAGGUCUCUGGGCAUUUACUGACGCUGAGGAGCGAAAGCAUGGGGAGCGAACAGGAUUAGAUACCCUGGUAGUCCAUGCCGUAAACGUUGGGCACUAGGUGUGGGGGACAUUCCACGUUUUCCGCGCCGUAGCUAACGCAUUAAGUGCCCCGCCUGGGGAGUACGGCCGCAAGGCUAAAACUCAAAGGAAUU
Molecule: ribosomal RNA, 801 nt
Rfam family: Bacterial small subunit ribosomal RNA